This 253-nucleotide ribosomal RNA is filed under the name uncultured bacterium. Its description in RNAcentral is "partial 16S ribosomal RNA". It matches the Rfam family "Bacterial small subunit ribosomal RNA", at positions 524 to 776 of the family's 1533-position model. The record is from RNAcentral.
UACGAAGGGGGCUAGCGUUGUUCGGAGUUACUGGGCGUAAAGGGCGCGUAGGCGGCGCACCAAGUCAGGCGUGAAAGCCCUGGGCUCAACCCGGGAAUUGCGCUUGAGACUGGUGUGCUUGAGUACGGGAGAGGAUAGUGGAAUUCCCAGUGUAGAGGUGAAAUUCGUAGAUAUUGGGAAGAACACCGGUGGCGAAGGCGGCUAUCUGGACCGUAACUGACGCUGAGGCGCGAAAGCGUGGGGAUCAAACAGG